Non-coding RNA from Cricetulus griseus (Chinese hamster), 2682 nucleotides. The record is from RefSeq and is a predicted model, not a curated record. Lineage: Eukaryota; Metazoa; Chordata; Mammalia; Rodentia; Cricetidae.
CCGCCCGCCUCCUCUCCCCAAAGACAGUCGGCUCCCUCCACUACUGUCCUGAGCACGUGGCCGUUGACCGCUCUGGCCCUUCACUGCCCUGCCCUGUUUGGCUGGGGGUUGACGCUGCGCCGACCUUCCCCACCCAGAACCUUCCCGUCUCCCUCCCACCCAAACUGGCCAACACAGGGAGAAAUCCCAGAGCUGUGACUUCUGCUGGGAGGGGAAGAAACAGAAGAGGACACACUGACACUGGGAAACUGAGGCACCAAAGUACACAGGAGGGAGAGGAGAGUGGAAGUUUCUGGUUUAGGAGACCUAACAUCUGUGAAGAUCUGAAGUCAUCUCACCCGAGGCGCCCUGCUAAACCCAGAUUUACUCAUCUGUGAAAUGAGAAGUCGGGAGAACAUCCAUGCUUGUCACACAAGACUUCAAGCACUAGACUCAUGGGGGUGCCCGCUCAACAGUAGCUGUGCUAAUGCUAAUGGUAUUGGCCAAGGCAGGUCGGCUCCUCAAGGAAGCGAAGUUCUUAGUUCCAGAGCUCAGCCUAAUCCUUUACCGAGUGACCUCGGCCCAGUCCUGUAACCCCUGUGCUCCUCCUUCUCCUUGUGGCUAGGAUGUGGAUAUAAUCGCAGAGCCCACUCUCCAGAUCCCCAGUCCUCCAUUCCACUGGAGACACCACUAAAGAAAAAGAGGCCAACCAGGAGGUCCUCUCCGAAGACCUGCCCCCGAGUCGAGUCACAAAGGGUUUCUCUCCUCACUGAGUUUACCAGCAUUCUUCUUCUUCCUUGAGGGGCGUGGUCAUUAAGAGGAUUAAAUGAGGCUUGCAUAUAGUAUUUGAAUGAUGCUCAAAGUCAGUGAAUGGUGGCUCCGGACACGCUGAUGUGGUGAAGCUGUGUCUGAGGAUCUACCCAGAGUGGGGCAGAGUUGCAGACUGGGUUGCCCAUGGCAGUUGGAGUGUGUUAGAAGCUUCCACAUGGUAGGAUAUCAUUCUUAAAGAGGCAGUGAGUAUUCUCGGGAAGCAGGUCUUUGGUUGAAUACAAAGGGCUUCCCAUAAAAGCUGAAUCCCAGCCCUUUCCUGAUAUCCCCAAGAGAAGGGAAAGACCACUGCAGACCCCUGGGAUGGAAGGAGACGGAGCAGAGACAGGAAUGGCACCUAGGCUGGAUAUAUCUUCCAGCCCCUCACUCUGCCACCUCUCCUUCUGGUCAACUUGAGCAUCUGGAGUUGGCAACAGGCAAGUGUCCCUUCCUUAUCUGCCUCCUCAGUGUGGAAGGGCGCUUGAAGGAACAGAAGAGAAAUGUCUGCACCCUGCCCUGGCCCCCUGCAAGGCUCAGCUCGUCUGUAAAUGGAGAAGCAGGAGGAUGCAGAACCACAGACCUCAAACUUCCCUGAGAUCCAGCAAAUUAGGAUUUGUGCUAAACCUCCUCCCACCUCAGAGCAUAGCACUGGGGAAAAGCGAAACCUCCACUCUGGAGACAGAAGCCCCAGGAACCUCCCCCACAGGCAGGGAAGGCUCGGGCCCUUGGAAAUAGAGCGGAUCAGCCAAGGAGGCAGCCGGGGAGCCAGCAAGUGGCUCCUUAAGGCUGUGCGCUUCACGACCUAGUUGUCAACAGCCUAACAAGGCUAGGCUUCAGCCGCUAUCCUCCCAGGAUUGGCUCCCAGUCCCCACCGCUGUGCUCAAGGGCUGGAUGGGAAACUACAAUGCGAUGACUCCUUUCUUUUCAUCUUCUUCUUAAGGAAAACAACUCUCAACUCCCCGCGGAGCACAUUCCUUCACUGUGAAGUCUUCCCGAACCCAUCUCCCCCCGUCUUUCAGAAAGAAGAGAGCGGGGCUUGGCUGCCUCUUCAGUGAGAUUUCUAAAAAAGUCGCUGCUGAUGGCGGCAGUCGGAGAACAUGAGGGGGAAGAAGAGAGCUGACGCAAUCUACAUUUAUUAGCAGUGAGGGAAAUUAAUAAGGCAUACCAGUGCAAGGCCCACUCCAUAGACCCGGGAAGCCCCAGGGACCGCUGGAAAUCUGGUGGUCUCCGCCCUGGCGGAGUCUUCAAAAUACCUCAUCAGUUGCAAUCCUAGAUUGCCACAGCUGGAACGAGGCUUGGUCAUGGCCAUCAUCUAACGUCCCAAGGACAAAUGCUUUUUAUCACGCAUGCCAAAUCUAAUUGAUUGGUAGGGGUGGCCUGAAUCUCUAUGUUGAAAAGGAUUCUGAGGUAUCUGGGUCCCUUGGGAGAGGGGGACUGUAAUUGAUUGGCAGAUGUCUGCCAUGGGUGAAAGUGGAGGAGUGGCAGUGUUCACACCAUACGCUGCUGGCCAUGCCUCCCACAUUAUUGAUGGGGGAGACUGAGUCCCAGAGCCCAUCUUGUAUAAGGGUUUCCCCCCAGUCUUCUUGGGAAGCCAGCUGCUUUGGAUAAAUGGCACCCAGUCCUGACCUCGAGGCUACAGAUGUCAGAUCCAAGGGCUGUCUCCAGAAGCAAAGGCAACUAACAGCUUGGGUGAGCUGGGUUAAUUGCCAGUUUCCUGAAAACAACUGGUAGAUGCAGUUAUCACCUUGAACUGAUCGGUUGGCUCAACAGUUGCAGGUGACAUGGCAGGCCUUUACAGUCGACCUAAGACUAGUGGCCAGUUUGGUUAGGACAGGAUCUGUGGGAAAGAUUAACUAAAUAUUUGGGCACAGGACAAUAAAACCCCCAAAUAGUCAA